This 22-nucleotide non-coding RNA is filed under the name Arabidopsis thaliana (thale cress). Lineage: Eukaryota; Viridiplantae; Streptophyta; Magnoliopsida; Brassicales; Brassicaceae. The record is from RNAcentral.
UGAGAAGCAGAAGAUUGUUGGU